CCCUUAGAUGUCCUGGGCCGCACGCGCGCUACACUGAGUGUCUGAGAUACGAGUCUGCCUGGUCCGGCAAGGUCUAGGUAAUCGCUAAAAGACACAUCAUGCUUGGGAUAGAUUAUUGCAAAUAUUAAUCUUGAACGAGGAAUUCCUAGUAAGCGCAAGUCAACAGCUUGCGUUGAUUACGUCCCUGCCCUUUGUACACACCGCCCGUCGCUACUACUGAUUGAGUGGUCCGGUGAGGCUUUGGGAUCUGAGCGGAAAGAGCGUUUCGCUGUUUCUGCUCGGAAAACUCAGUCGAACCUUAUCAUUUAGAGGAAGGAGAAGUCGUAACA
RNAcentral lists this ribosomal RNA (329 nucleotides) under uncultured eukaryote. RNAcentral's name for it is "partial 18S ribosomal RNA". It matches the Rfam family "Eukaryotic small subunit ribosomal RNA", at positions 1470 to 1796 of the family's 1831-position model. The record is from RNAcentral.